RNAcentral lists this ribosomal RNA (402 nucleotides) under Fusobacteriota bacterium. RNAcentral describes it as "Fusobacteria bacterium partial 16S ribosomal RNA". It matches the Rfam family "Bacterial small subunit ribosomal RNA", at positions 355 to 776 of the family's 1533-position model. The record is from RNAcentral. Lineage: Bacteria; Fusobacteriati; Fusobacteriota.
UGGGGAAUUUUGCACAAUGGGGGCAACCCUGAUGCAGCGACGCCGCGUGAUUUAGAAGGCCUUCGGGUUGUAAAAAUCUUUUGUAUGGGAAGAAAAUGACAGUACCAUACGAAUAAGGACCGGCUAAUUACGUGCCAGCAGCCGCGGUAAUACGUAAGGUCCGAGCGUUGUCCGGAAUCAUUGGGCGUAAAGGGUACGUAGGCGGAUAAGCAAGUUAGAAGUUAAAACCUAUAGCUCAACUAUAGUAAGCUUUUAAAACUGCUCAUCUUGAGGUAUGGAAGGGAAAGUGGAAUUCCUAGUGUAGCGGUGAAAUGCGCAGAUAUUAGGAGGAAUACCGGUGGCGAAGGCGACUUUCUGGCCAUAAACUGACGCUGAGGUACGAAAGCGUGGGUAGCAAACAGG